Hydra vulgaris (swiftwater hydra) is the source of this 952-nucleotide long non-coding RNA. RefSeq lists it as uncharacterized. The record is from RefSeq and is a predicted model, not a curated record. Lineage: Eukaryota; Metazoa; Cnidaria; Hydrozoa; Anthoathecata; Hydridae.
UGGGAGCCCGGAUUAAAUUUUUGCGGGGGGAAGGGGGGUCAAUUUUUUGUCGCUACGCUACUGAUUUAGUGUGCGUACAACAGUUAACAACUUUAAUCUUAUACAUUAACUUUAGUUAUAACUUAAUUAUUAAUGGUUUGAUUUAUAGAUUUUUAAAGCAAUACAAGAUUAAAUUUAGCAGAAGGCUAAACUUCUGCUCUGGAGAAAAAAAAGAAAGACAGCGAAAAAAAGAGACAAAAAAUUGUGUAUAUCUUGGUGUUGAUGAUUUAUCCUCAAUUUCUUAUAAUAAAACAAAAAAUAUUAUUAAACUUGAGGAUUUAUCUGUAACUCGAAACUCUUUACAGAAGUUCAAUGUUUGCUCUGAGAAGUUGAAUGAACAAAAUUUAUUAAAUGUUAUCAUUAAAGUACAUCAUUGAAGUACUUGGUAAACUACAAAACACAUCAAAUUCAGUUAUAAAAAUUUGAGUAACAAAGGUAUGCUAAUUAUUGUAUUGCCUGAAAGAGUGUCAUUGCUAUUAAAAGCAGUGAAGAAUUCAAGUACUCAGGAAGAAAAGAAAAUACGUAAGUAAAUGGUCAAUUAUUUAGCACAAAUCGGAGUUAAAGACAAAGGAGAUUGUAUAUUUUAUUUGCUAAGAAUAGUUUUUUAAAAUGGCCUAGUUGUAAAAUUAAACUAUACAGGGAGAGGGCAAAAAAUUGGAAUAGAAAAAAUGUUGAUUGCAUAUGCUGCUAUUGAAAAAGUCAAAUAAGCAUGGCUUAUGUAGACAUGUGAUAGAGAUAGUGGAAGAAAAAAUAAUAAUCGUGGGCACCAAAUAUCAUAACCUAAACACUAUUCAAUAACAAGUAGCUCAGCCAAUAUCGAAACUACUCUAAAUUUUAUAGUGAAUUUUUUUAUUUAAAACUCAAUGUGUCAGUUUUUGGUUUAAGUUUUGUGUUUGCAAUAUGUAUAUUUAAC